CCUACGGGAGGCAGCAGUGGGGAAUAUUGCACAAUGGGGGAAACCCUGAUGCAGCAACGCCGCGUGAGUGAAGAAGGUUUUCGGAUUGUAAAGCUCUGUUAGCAGGGAAGAGGAAGGACGGUACCUGCAGAGGAAGCCACGGCUAACUACGUGCCAGCAGCCGCGGUAAUACGUAGGUGGCAAGCGUUGUUCGGAAUAACUGGGCGUAAAGGAUGCGUAGGCGGUUAAACAAGUUAUAUGUUAAAUAUAUAGGCUUAACCUGUAGAAAGCAUAUAAAACUGUUUAACUAGAGUGCCGGAGAGGUAAGUGCAAUUCCUAGUGUAGCUGUGACAUGCGUCGCUAUUAGGCAGAACCCCCGUGGCGCAGGCGACUUACUGGACUGUAACUGACGCUGAGGCAUGAGAGCAUGGCGAGCAAACAGGAUUCGAUACCCGGGUAGUC
RNAcentral lists this ribosomal RNA (441 nucleotides) under uncultured bacterium. RNAcentral's name for it is "partial 16S ribosomal RNA". It matches the Rfam family "Bacterial small subunit ribosomal RNA", at positions 338 to 795 of the family's 1533-position model. The record is from RNAcentral.